RNAcentral lists this long non-coding RNA (472 nucleotides) under Brassica napus (rape). Its description in RNAcentral is "long non-coding RNA (BNAP_LNC021967)". Lineage: Eukaryota; Viridiplantae; Streptophyta; Magnoliopsida; Brassicales; Brassicaceae. The record is from RNAcentral.
GGUUUAGGGUUUAGGUUUUAGUGAUUAUGAUUUAGGGUUUAGUAUUUAGAAGGGCGGGGUUGGGAUUUAAGUUUAGUGAACAUGUAUCGUUUCAUUUGACGAUUAAUAAAGAGUGUUAGUGUUCUAUUUUGUUCACCAAUAUGUACUAUACUAUUUAUUUUACUCCAUUUUGUUUAGGUUUAAGGGCUAUACUUGGGUUUAGGGUUUAGUGAUUAGAGUUUAAAGUUUAGUAUUUGGAAGGUGUGUGGUUAAGGUUUGGGUUUAGUGAUAGCAGUUUAGGGUUUAAUAUUCAAAAUAUGUCUUCAAGUGUCCAAUAUUGGAAAAAAAUUUAUAGAUUGUAUAUGGGUUUAUAGGUUCCUAUCCAGGAUUUAGAUUUACAAAGUAGAGGUUUGGGUAUAGUAAACCAUAUUAUAUAUAUAUAUACUAUUUGGGUUUAUGGUUCCUUAAUUAGGGUUUAGUUUUAAUAAUUAAU